AGGACACUGGGGAUUUGCUCAUGUUGGACUUACAGGGAUCUCUCUAAGGUGCCUAAGGAAGGCAAUUUAAAGGGGCUCCAAUCCCCACAUCUCUUCAGUGCUCAGGGCCAUGCCCUAGCUCUAGACUGCAGGCUUGAUGCAGAAAUUACUGAGGGAAGGUCUCUGCCUUAUGUCAGCCUGGAGGCCAGACUAGGCCAGUCUCAUGGGCCUCCUGGCCUUAAAAUCGAUACGAAUCUGCCCAGCAGCCUGUCCCCGCUGCUCGAUAGGGUCAGCUGUGAGGGGAGGCCGCAGGGAAGAGGCUCCCCCUCCCCCACUCCGCGCCCCGGGCAGGUCAGGAGCUUUAGCCGCACUCGGCAGCUGGGGCCCGGAGGGAAGAGACCGGACCCAGGGCAGCGCUAGAGCGGAUCCGAUCCCGGCUCUCCCGGCCCCCUGCUGCUUUCGGGAGAGGGCGGCAGCGCUGGGGAGAGGCCCCUGCCCGCGGGGAGCGGAGAGGACCCGGCACCCCGCGGAGCAGCUCAGAGCGGAGGCUCCCGCUAGGCCCGUGACCCCGGCCGCAGGACGGGCUCGGUGCUGCGGACGCGGGGCUCUGCCCCCGGCUGGGACAGGCCGCCGGGACACUCACCUUUUUGCUCAGGCUGUCCCUGAUCUCAAGUGGCUGGUGCCCAGGGAGCCCUGUAUGACAAUCAGCUGCCUCAAGAGCCAGGCAUGUAAACUUGAGGCAAUACUGAUUGGGAGGACCUGUUUUUGAGGCUCUAGUGAAGCACAGUCAUGCUGUUUCCUCUCACCAGGGGAACUCCCAUGUCUCAGGAGAUUGCCCUAAGCACAGAGCUCUGGGGUAUUCUGCUCUGGGUGCUCCCUCAAUCUUCUGUUGAAGCUGUUCCAGUAUGAACCAACUAAAGAGUUAUUGAAGCAUGGCACUGGACUCCAGGUCUCCCACGUGGAUGCCCUACCACUGGCUUACAGAGAGUCAUAUUCUCUUCCCCCCUGUCUGGUCUAAUGACUAUUCCACAAUGGAUAAAUACUUAAAUAGUUAUUGAACCAUAUCAGACCUGAACAGCAGUGUAAUGUUGCCACUAUGGUUAAUGUUUCAACAGCACUCCAAUUAUUGACUUUACAUUUUUAGAUGUGUUUUAUUGCUAUAAAAAGUAGGGGAAAAUCUUUAAUUUUAAAACAAAAAUCAACUAUUCCUUUAAGACAGGCAUUUUAAAAAUAUUUACAGAUUGUGUUUGAGUCAAAUUCAUAAAUUCCAUUUUAAAAGAAGUCCUAAAUCCUUAGUCCAUGCAUCUUAUUCUGCAAUCCUGACUCUCACAUGUUGCCCCAAUGAAGUCAGUGCUACCGCACAUGUAGACACUGGAUUAUUGUUUUAAAUAUGGCAAUUAAAAUGGUUUGUUGAUAUUUUAAGGAUCCAUUCUACAAAUCAAUACACUGCUAAAUAAGAUUCAUAUCUUCUUCCAUGACUCUGAAUCAAGGAGUGUUUCACUGACUUUAAUAAAAAUGAGCAUGAAAAAACAUUUAGUCAGCCACAUCAGUUCUUGAUACAAAUACUGUCUGAAACAGAUGCAAGAAAAAAAAAAAAAAAAGCUUCCAAUAGUGUGCUAAUCUUCAUUUUACUUUUAGAUACUGUAACUUUUACUACAGUCCCAUUUAAUGGACUAAUGCCUAUGGUAUUAAUUUUCACUCCACAUAAAACCACGAAAUGGCUCAGUGAUGCAUUGGAUAUAUAAUAUACCAAAUUACAAGAUGGAGGUUUGUGUUUCCUGUAUUUAAAUAGGGAAUAAAAAGUUACUGAAAAACCAGCACAUACUGUACAGCUUAUAGUACAUACUGAAAUACAGCUGAUUUCUUUUAAAAAAUUCUUAUAUAGCAUUGUUGCAAUGACCAUAUCCUAGCACCCCUGCAUAGGACACUAGUUUUAUUACCAAGACCAAUGCAUUCCUGGAGGUCUUUGACAUGUGGUCAAUAAUACCAAAGCAACUGUUGUCAUAAGACAUGCAAAUUAAAACAAGCUAAGCACAAUAAAAAACAAUUGCUUUUAAGUUACACAUACUAAUUCUAGUACAAGCUCCCAAAUUGUACCAAUACACUUGCAACUUUUUGGACACAUCUAGUGGUUAAUUAAAGAUGGUUAGCAGCUAGAGUUCUAUCAAGCUCAAUUUACACUCAACUGCAUUUUUCAAAUAAAGUCCUUUCUAGAUCAGCUGGAUAAAAGGUUUGAAGAACAACUACUGCCUAUCUGGAGAUCUCAAAACACUUUACAAACAAUUAAGGUCUGCAACACCUCUGAGGUACCCAGUUUACCUCUGCACCUGGUUCUCUUAACAGAGUCCUGUGAAGUGCUGAGUUGAGUGCUUGACUUCAAUGGAAGCUACAGGUGCUGAUCAUCAGCACACAGUCAGGUCUAUUUUAACAGGAAGUUAAAGGUGCAAGCUGCAAGUCUACUAGUAACCCUGACCACCACAUUAGCUAUUUGCAAUAAAUCUUAUUCAUAAGCUAAAGCCAUGUUCAUUUGUACAAUAUUACCUCAGACAGAUAUUGUCUGGUUUCUGAAGGACCUACUACUUGGGGUGAAGCUGUUGAUUUAGUGAUCUUAUCCUUAUAAUUGAAAUAUCUAGAUUCCCUGGAACUCCUGGUUCAAACCCCAGUACUGCAUCCUGCUAAAAUGCAUGAAUUGAGUCCCAUGCACUUUCCUAGGUUGGGGAGGAAUUUCAGAUUAGACCUUACAAAAAGCAAUUGUGAAUUCUGUUGAACUGUGAAUGUCCACAGUAAGUGUUUUCAUUUGGGUUCCAUUCCAGAAACUUUGGUUAACAAAACUUACAAGGAUAAACCAGGCUAUUAGUUAACAUACAAGCCUUAGAUUUGUUGCUUUUGCUCUCCUGCCUGCUCCAUCCUCAAAAAAACCAAAACCCACCAAUCAGGAUUUUGAGGACGUUUAUUCAAGUAACUGUUUCUUGCUAUAUCCCAGAACUGGACCCUUCACUUUCCUCUCCGCACGAUUGUUAAAUCGUUAAUAGAUCUUUAUAUAUAAAGAACAGAAAAAUACUUCCAUCAGAAAUCAUUUGAUACCCCAUCACCUUCUCCAAAGGGAAAGGUGCAAGGUGAAUUGAAACAGUUGUUCAUUAGUUAGCCUGGGGGAUAUUUAUGGUCACAAAAUCCAGAGGGGCACAGAAAUAUAACUAGGAAAAAAUAGGUGUCCUGUAUCUGCUACUACCUUGGCAGAGUUGGGACAGAUGCAAGAUGUUGAUAUGAAGGCUCAAAACUGGACAUUUGCUGGCAUGCUUGCUGUAUCAGUUCUAAUAUAAACUUGGAACAUGACAGUGCCCUCAGUACCACCAGUUUCCCUUUUGGAAGUUUGUAUACAUGAUUAGUUAUAAUGGCCUGAGUAGGACCUAAGAGGACUAGGUGCAAUUAAAAUAUCUAGCCAUACUUGGGGGAGCACAGGUAUAAAUUAGGAGGAAUGGGAGGCAACAAGAGCCAAGCUGGAGGCAAAGGCAAAGUUGUGCAAUCUUGAAUGUGACCGAGCAUCUCAAACUUUGUAUCCUUUGUAUCAGAGAAGGAGAGGGUAGGGGAGGAAGAGCGAGACCAUGAACUCAAAGCAGACAUGAGGAAUUUAAGUGAGGGCAGCACAGGAAGAAUAUCCCCUUAUUCUACAUUUCAGCUUACUGGAAAGCUACACACAUUUUCCUAGAUACAGAAGGUUGAGAUUGUGGAGAAUGUAAAUUCUAUUACAUGGUCAUUUUGUUCUUUUGACUAAUAUCCCCUUUCUUGUAGGGGAAGUUUUCCCUCCUACAAAUGAGCACAUAACACAAAGUUUCCUUAGAUUACCACCAAGUCAGUAAGCGAUUUGUUUGGGAAUUCCUCUCCAUGCCCCCCCAAACACAGAGUCAGGACUACUAGUAAACGUUUCUUAAAAGAUUUAUUAAAGUAUCAUUUAUCACAAAUAGAGAAAUAAACAGAUUAGAAGCAUGCAACCAUCAUCUCCCACAUUUAAGUAAUUUCUGUAUGCAUUUUUUUCCUUGCAUUCACAGCAUGUUGUCAAACUUCAAACGUUAGUGCCAGCUUCACUCUUCCUGAAAAUGUUUCAAGGCAAUAGAUAACAAAAAACAGUAAGGUAAGAUAGUGUGAGAAAAGUGCAGAGUAAAAAAUAUGUACACACACACACUCACACUCAAGCUUCCCUCCCAACCUCUUUCCCCCC
Long non-coding RNA from Trachemys scripta elegans, 4195 nucleotides. RefSeq lists it as uncharacterized. The record is from RefSeq and is a predicted model, not a curated record. The transcript is spliced from 3 exons. Lineage: Eukaryota; Metazoa; Chordata; Testudines; Emydidae.